AGGGCACCACCAGGAGUGGAGCCUGCGGCUUAAUUUGACUCAACACGGGAAAACUCACCCGGCCCGGACACCGUAAGGAUUGACAGACUGAUAGUUCUUUCUUAAUUCGGUGGGUGGUGGUGCAUGGCCGUUCUUAGUUGGUGGAGCGAUUUGUCUGGUUAAUUCCGAUAACGAACGAGACUCUGGCCUAUUAAAUAACACACAGAAUCUUGUCUUCUGUGGCGUUUCUUAAUGGGAUCAAGUGUGUUUAACACUUUGAAACAGAGCAAUAACAGGUCUGUGAUGCCCUUAGAUGUUCGGGGCCGCACGCGCGCUACAUUGAGAGACAAAAUGAGUUUUCUAGUCUUUAAUAAGGCUAGUAAUCUUUGAAUGUUUUUCUUAAUGGGGAUAGGGGAUUGCAAUUGUGCCCCUUGAACGAGGAAUUCCCAGUAAGUGCUAGUCAUUAGCUAGUACUGAUUACGUCCCUGCCCUUUGUACACACCGCCCGUCGCUACUACCGAUUGGAUGACUUAGUGAGGU
RNAcentral lists this ribosomal RNA (519 nucleotides) under uncultured eukaryote. RNAcentral's name for it is "bacterial SSU rRNA". It matches the Rfam family "Eukaryotic small subunit ribosomal RNA", at positions 1161 to 1707 of the family's 1831-position model. The record is from RNAcentral.